RNAcentral lists this transfer RNA (97 nucleotides) under Phytohabitans rumicis. RNAcentral describes it as "tRNA-Pro". The record is from RNAcentral. Lineage: Bacteria; Bacillati; Actinomycetota; Actinomycetes; Micromonosporales; Micromonosporaceae.
GCCCUGCUGGAGGAGUUGGGCGACGACGCGUGUGCGGCGUACGUGCGGCAGAGCAUCGGCGAGCUGCACCUGCGGUUCGGGGAUCCGCGGCGGGCCG